CCUUCUCCACAGUCAUAAUCGUCCCAAAAACCCUCCUUUCUGCAAAUGGCUGAGGCUUUGCUCGGAACUUUAAAUCAAAACUUGCAAUCUUUUGGCCAAGACCAACUUGCAACGUUUUGGGGUGUUGACCAACAGAUUCAAAAGCUUUCCAGCAAUCUCACUGCAAUCCGUGCUGUUCUCAGAGAUGCUGAGAGAAAACAAAUAACAAGUUAUGCUGUCAAAGAUUGGCUGCAGAAACUCACAGAUGCAGCAUAUGUGCUGGAUGAUAUCUUAGAUGAAUGUUCAAUUCACUCCACAAAACUGAAUUUUGAUGAUGCACAUACAUCAUGCCUAACCCGUUUCCAUCCUAAGGACAUUCUCUUUCGUUUCAAUAUUGGCAAGAGGAUGAAAGAUAUCACACAAAGAUUUCAAGACAUUCAUGAAGAAAGGAGCAUGUUUAAUUUAGAACCCGGUGUCACAGAGGUCCAAACAAUCAAUGAUAAUUGGCGCCAAACUAGCUCUGACAUUACAGAACCUGUAGUCUACGGUAGAGACCAGGAUCGAGAGCAAAUUUUGAAGUUUCUUUUCGAAGAGGUUAGUGACAGUGAAGGCCUCUCCAUCUAUCCCAUAGUUGGCAUGGGUGGACUUGGAAAAACAACAUUAGCCAAGCAGGUCUUCAAUGAUAACAGGGUAUGCAAACAUUUUGACUUGACAAUUUGGGUUUGUGUUUCUGAUGAUUUCAACACCAUGACAAUACUCCGAUCCAUCAUAGAAUGCAUCACUGGACAAAAAUCCAAACUCAAAAGCUUAGAAGCAAUCCGGAAAAAGGUUGAGGAAGUGUUGCACGGGAUGAAGUAUUUACUUGUUCUUGAUGAUGUGUGGAAUGAAGACCAAGAGAAAUGGAAGCAGUUGAAGGGAAAAUUGCAAUGCGCAAGGGCAGCAAAAGGAGCUACCAUUUUGGUCACUACUCGACUCGAGGAAGUUGCUAACACCAUGCAGACACAUCCUGCUUACCAUUUGAAAGAAUUGUCAGGAGAUGAUAGUUGGUCAUUGUUCAAACACCAUGCGUUUGGACCAAACAGAGAAGAAACGGAAGAACUCGUGUCAAUUGGCAAAGAGAUAGUGACAAAAUGCAUUGGUUCGCCGCUUGCAAUCAAAACUUUGGGAAGCCUAUUACGUGAUGAAAGUGACGUAAAACAAUGGCAGAAUGUAAAGGAAAGUGAGAUUUGGCAUAUACGGGAGGAAAGUAGUUUUGCAACAGGUGAGGAAAAUUCUAUCAUGCGUGCUUUGAAAUUAAGCUAUUUUAAUUUGGAAUUGUCAUUGCGGAGAUGCUUUUCUUUUUGUGCAAUUUUCCCCAAAGAUUUGGAAAUAGACAAGGAAGAAUUGAUUCAUCUCUGGAUGGCUAAUGGGUUUAUUGAAAGUGAAAGAAACAUAGAAGUGGAGGAUGUUGGAAAUAAAGUGUGGAAUAAAUUAUACCGUAGAUCAUUUUUUCAGGAAGCAAAAUGUGAUGAAUUUGGCAUGAUCAAAAGUUUCAAGGUGCAUGAUCUAUUUCAUGAUCUUGCCCAGUCUAUUAUGGGUGAGGAAUGUGUGGUUGUUGUGAAAGGAAGAUUGACUACAUUGUCAACUAAAGUUCACUAUUCAAGCUUGUUCAAUUCUGGUGAGUCUGAUGAUAUGACUGCUCAAAGAGUUCACUAUUCAAGCUUGUUCAAUUCUGGUGAGUCUGAUGAUAUGACUGCUCAAAGAUUCAUGACUGCUUUGAAGAAGGUUGAAUCCCUGCGGACUUUUCUUGAUUAUGAGGGUAUUGGUCCGAUGCCAUCAAAUCCUUGUCUCCGAGCAUUGCAAACAAGCUCUUCUUUGUUAUCCCCACUCAAGGAUUUAACACUUUUGAGAUACUUGAGUUUGAGUUUGACUUUUAAUAGGAGUUCGGAAGAAAACUUAAAUAACUCAAUUUGUCAGUUGCCGAAACUACAAACAUUGAAACUGUGUAAUUGCCACCAAUUUCAUGGGCUGCCUAAGAACUUGACACGAUUAGAGGAUCUGAGGCAUAUUGUGAUUAAUGGCAGGGAUUCAAUACAAGAGAUGCCUUCGAAUAUUGGCAAGUUAAGGCAACUAAGAACCCUGAACAUUUUUGUUGUGGGUUUAAAACCAGGGUGUGGAUUAGCAGAGUUGCAUAGCUUAAAGCUGGGAGGCACGCUGAGAAUCAGAGGCCUUGAAAACAUCCCCAAUGAAUGGGAUGCUAAACAAGCAAAUUUAAUGAGCAAGAAAGAGUUGAAUCGCCUACACUUGUCAUGGGGUGCUAGUGCUAAUUCAGAAGGUAGUAAUGUUAGUGCGGAGAAAGUACUUGAAGCCCUGCAACCACCCUCAACUCUGAAGAGUUUUGAGAUGAGAGGAUAUCGAGGAAGACAAUUAUCCCAUUGGAUGAGAAGUGUUGUAGUUCUGAGAGACUUGGUGGAAGUUAACCUCUUGGACUGUGACAACUGUGAUGAGCUGCCUCCACUUGGCAAACUAGCACACUUGAAAAGGCUAGAGGUGAGUGGAAUGAAAAAUGUGAAGUGGAUAGAUGGUGAGACAUAUAACGGCGUGGAGGAGAAGGCAUUUCCAUCGUUGGAGAAAUUGACCAUGAGAAAUUUACCAAAUUUGGAGAGAAUGUUGAGGGAGGAAGGAGUAGAGAUGCUCCCUCGACUUUCUGAAUUAAGAACUUUUUGCGUCUCCAACAUUAAAUUUCCUCGUCUUUCUUCUGUUGAGAAACUUAUUGCUGUGAGCAUUGACGAAGUGGCUUCCUUCAUGGAAGGGGUUGUGGGGAAUCUUCCUUCUCUAAAGACCUUGGAAAUUCAAAGCGUUAAAGGAGCUGUGGUAUUACCCAACCAACUCCGUGUGUUGGAUGCGCUACAAGAACUACGUAUUGGAGAUUGGCAUGAUGUGGAGUAUUUUACUGAACAUGUGCUAGAAGGUCUGACUUCUCUACGAACUUUGUCCAUUAAUUACUGUAAGAAAUUAAAAUCCUUGUCUGAAGGUGUGCGGCAUUUGGCUUGUCUUGAGAGUUUGACGAUCAGUGGUUGUCCAGAGCUGAUGGAUCUAUCAAGCAAUAUGAGCCAACUAACUACCCUUUGGACUGUCUCAAUUAAGGUAUGCUCCAGAUUACCGUAUGGCUUACAACAUGUCCCUUCCCUAAGAACUUUGGAUAUAACAUCUUGCAAAUGUACUUCAUUGCCGGAUUGGGUCGGAGACAUGACUUCUCUUCAAAAAUUAAGCAUUAGGUUCUGUAGGGAGUUGAGGUCACUACCGAAUAGCAUUCAACACCUCACCAACUUGUCUCAUUUAAGCAUACACGGAUGUCCUCAUCUGAAGAAGCGGUGCAAGAGGGAAACAGGAGAGGAUUGGCAAUACAUAAAGCACAUCCCAAAAAUAGAACUAUUCCAUUGUGAAACCGACCUUUUAUGGUAAAUUCAAUAGUGUUGUGUUUACUUGUGUCAGUUUUUCUUUAAAAUUUGUGUAACCUUUUGCGUAGUGUAUAUAUUGAAUAAUAAAACAACAUUUCAGUAUUUUCUGUGCGCAGAUAAAGUAGUUAAAGGAAAUCAAUUUUUUUAUAUGCAAUUUCUAGGUGAUAUAAUGCCUGCUAUAAAAUCAUUUUAUUCUAUCUUUAACCACUCUUUCUCCUCAAGAUUUUAAAGAAGUUCUUGCUGUUGUUGAUCUGGAUUGAUCUGGAUUGCAUGUGUGAUGCUUGAAUAAGCUUAGCAGUGAUUCAAAUAGAUCAAUCCUCUGGUAUGCAUCAUUCUUUUAAUUUUUCUGUUUUGUUCUCUAUAUAAUCAAUGAUGCUACUUUCCGUAGUGAUUCAAAUUUUUAUCUGUUAUAUACAGGGUUGUAUGUACCUCAAGUUGUUACAUAAUUUAGAUCUUGAAUUUGUUUGAGACCAAAUACUUUUUAGUGAAUUUCUUUUGAAUGUGUAAGUGAUAGAUUUUUUAUUGUUUACUUAACAUAUACAAUUUUAAUUUGAACUGUUUAUUUAACACGUAUAAAAAAUGAUUUUGGAAAAUUGUUCACUACCACUAGUGUGGAAAAUCAUUAAUUUGAUUCAAAAUUACUGUGUACGCACGAUGAAAGUGAGGUAAGACAAUGGGAAAAUGUAAAGGAAAAUAAAUUUGGGAUAUACAGGAUGAAAAUGGUCGCUUGUCCUGUUAUAUUUGUGUCAAGCCAAAUACUGACUUCGGACAGUAGGUAUUGGGUAAAAUCUAGGUCUCGUUUUGUAGGACUCUGUGAUAUCAUAUAUAUUUGGAUGAUUUUUAUGAAACACAAAUUUGAAAUAGAAAAUUGUUUGAGAAAAUAUUCUAUAGCAUAAUUGAAAGGAAAUUUAACAAGAUUAAAAUAAUCAAAAAUGAUAAUGGAACUGAUUUAUUGUUACAUUCCUUUUAUUAGGAACAAAGUAUUCUGCAUCAAACCUCAUGAGUUGAAACUCCUCAAAAAAGUAGAAAAGUAAAAAGGAGACAAAACUAUUUUUAGAUUGUUAAAGUCAUAUACUUUUUCGGAUAAAUUUACAGAAACAUAAUCAUAAUAUGUGCUGGCUUCACAUUAAUUAAAUAGGAAUGAAUUCUGUUUAAUUGAUAAAAUUCACCCCACAACCGGUAUCGAUGGCAGUUCUGGGAGGCACGCUAAGAAUCAGAGGCCUUGAGAACGUCCCGAAUGAAUGGGAUGCUAAAGAAGCAAAUUUGAUUGGUAAGAAGGAGUUGAAUAUCCUGCACUUGUCAUGGGAUGGUAAUGCUAAUCCAAAAGGUAGUAAUGUUAAUGUGGAGACAGUACUGGAAGCCCUAGAACCUCCCUCAACUCUCAAGAGUUUUGAAAUGAAUGGAUAUCAGGGAAGGCAAUUAUCGAGUUGGAUGAGAAAUAGUGGAGUUUUGAGAGACUUGGUGGAUGUUAGACUCUCCAACUGUGACAACUGUGAAGAGCUUCCCCCACUUGGUAAACUUCCACACUUGAAAAGCCUAUACAUAAGUGAAAUGAAAAAUGUGAAGUGGAUAGAUGUGAACUGGGAGAUAUGACUACUCUUGAAGAAUUAAGCAUUGGGUUCUGUGAGGAGUUGAGGUCACUGCCGAGUAGCAUUCAACGCCUCACCAACUUAUCUUAUUUAUUGAUAAAAGGAUGUCCUGAUCUGAAGAAGCGGUGCAAGAGGGAAACAGGAGAGGAUUGGCAAUACAUAAACCACAUUCCGCAAUUGGAACUAUAUUUCCAGAAGAAACCGACUUUUUGUGGUAAAUUCAAAAGUGGUUUGUUUACUUGUCUCCCUACUUGUAUCCUUUUGCGCAAUGUAUAUAUUGAAUAAUAAAACAACGUUUGAGUAUUCUCCAGUUUUAUGGUUGAUGUUUGGCAGGUACUAUACCAAUUUCUGAUUUCGUAGAAUGUACCCCCUAAGAUUCAACUUCGUCACUAAUGUUUGUGUGCAGAUAAAGUAGCAAAAGGAAAGCAGUUUUUUUAUAUGCAAUUUCUAUGUGAUAUAAUGCCUGAUAUCAAAUCAUUUUUAUUCUUUCUUUAGCCACUUUUUUCUCCUCACCUCAGGAUUUUUCCGAAGUCCAUGUUGCUGCUCUGGAUUGCAGGCGUGAUGAUGCAUCAUUCUUAGCAGUUAUUCUAAUAAGAUCAGUCCUAUGGUAUGCAUCAUUCUUAUAAUUUAUCUGUGCUUUUGUUCUCUAUGUAGUCAUUGAUUGUACUUUUCAAAUAGACUUAAAAUUUUUAUCUGCUAUAGUUUUCUAUGUGCCUCAAAUUGUUACAAAAUUUAACUUUGAAUUUAAGACCAAAUAUUGUUUACUGAAUUGUUUUUGAAAGUGUAAGUGGUAAGAGAGAUUUGUGAUUUGAAAUUUUUAUCUGCUGUAUAGCGUUGUAUAUAUGUGCCUCAAAUUGGUAUAAAAUUUGUUUAAGAUCAAAUAUUAUUUUUACUGAAUUGCUUUUGAAAGAGUAAUGGUAGAGAGAUCUGUGGUUGUUUACUUAAAACGUAUGCAGUUUUAUUUUGAAUUGUUUAUUUAACAUGUAUAAAAAUUGGUUUUGAAAAUAUUGUACACUAGUGUGGAAAUUCAUCAAUUUGAUUCAAAAUAGGCGUGCAGGCUUGAGUUUGGAUUCAAUUGAUUGUGUUUGCAAUUCUACAAAGAUCAAUCUACUAGGCUACAAGAUAUCAUUUGAGAAACAGAGCACAUCAAUAAGAAAUGGUUAGUUAGUUAGUUUUGUGUAGUCACAGUGCUAUGAGUAGCAGAAGAUAUUUGCAUUUUGAUAAAUGGUUUGAGUGGUAGUUGUAGUAUUAAAACCAUGUAAAGAUGCACUGAUGUAUUUAUUCUGCCACUGUGACCUUUGUCAGUUUAUAUUUGAAAUUUACGAAAUAAGCUUUCUUUUGUCUGAAUGAGUUUCUUGGAAAUUCGAUUCUAUUAGUUAGAACCAUAAUGCGUUAUUUAUUUGCUAUGGUUCUUGUGGCAACAAAUGUAUUUGUUAAAAUUUGUGAAAAUAUGUAAGGUAGUGUAUUUACUUUAUAACAACUCAUUCCAGUGCAGCAGAUUGUGAAUAGAUGAUAAACUAUUAAUUGUGCUGAAACUUUUUUGGUUGUGAUUAUGUUCUUUAGAAUGUAAUAGAUGAGGACAUGGCUAGAGCGAAUUUGAUGUAUGAUCUGAGGAGUACCAAAGAUUAUACAGGCAAGGAUUACAAAUUGGAUUGCAACUACGGAAACCAUGUGCAAUAUGGCAAAGAUUGUUGUUACUUCCACAUACUGAUUUCGCGGAGUUAGUCAAAAACUCCACUUUUUGGACCAUGUGAACAACCUUGGUGGUGUGACAAAUUAAGUGAAUGUUUUGGUUAAACAUUUAUUUAAUAAAUUUCAUUAUAUUUUAUUAUUUGUUACAUAUAAGCGUUAUUUAUUUAGGUUUAAAGAUGUUUUAUUUUCAAAACAGAGUUAAGAGAAUUGAAGUAUUACUUAAUGCUAUGGUCUCAAUUCUUAAAAUCACUUAGCAUUCUGGUUAUUGUUAAUAUUCACAUUCUUCUUCUCAUCCAACUUAUUUAAAUUUUAAAAUCAUUUAAAGCCCAGUUAGUUAUUAGUCCAUGAACAAACUAGCAUUGAAAUAUAAUUGCAAUAUUUCUUAAUGAAAGAAAACAUUGAAGCAUUACUAAGAGGUGUUACACAAUACAAGAAAAUAAUUGCAAAGCUAACUAUUAUAUUCCUUCUUAAUACUCUAAAGCUUCUACUCUUUCCGGUUAAAAUAUGUCAGCUAAUUAAGUCAUUCAUUUUGGGUUAAUACAAUUCUUAAAAUACUUUCAAUUUUUUCUUUUGAUCUCUCAAUGUUUCUUAAUAUGUUUUUUCCCAUUCAUAUGAUGAUGUUUUAUGCUGAUAGAAUAAAGAAAGAAACUUAAUACAAGUAAUUCAUUAACAUUCCAAUGAUGUAACAUAACAACACUCAAUCUAAUAAACAUGUAGACAAGAGUCAUAAGUAUGAAAAAAAAAAAACUAAAAGAAUAUACUUUAUUAAAUAACUAAAUUAAAAGAAAAGUUAUUGAAUAAUCAAAACAUAAAUCAAUAAUAUAUUUAGUACGUCAAAAUUAUCAUUAUUAUGACUCUAGAUCAAGCAUAGAUGAUAUAAAAUAUGAUCAGAAUAGCACGCACAAAGGAGUGGGUAAAGAAAAAUUCCUACUGACCAUUGGGUAGUAUAGUCAGCAGAUAACAAGGUCUCCAUAGUUGGUUCUCCUCUCUUCAUGAUUUCUCAUUAAAUUCUCACUGUUUCACUUGCUAUUUUAAAAAAUGGUUGAACGACCACUACAGAGCGGCAAAAAGCAACUUUUUCCCAGUUGGGUCAUGAGAGCACUGUCACGUGAGAUUUAUUAGUUUGUAUAAAUUUGGUUUAUAGAACCAGUCUUUCUCUGUUUCCGCUAUUUUCGGUCAUUUAGCAUAUAACGUGGACUUGCUUACCACGAAAUGUGCUGAUGCAUUGCAUUCUGUUGGACUUAUAUAAACUACGCUCAAUUCAUUAAUAAAAGAUAUGGUGUGUUGCUUCCUCCAGCGUGAGUACUUUUAUUUAUUACUUUUUUAUAAUUGGUAUCAGAGCUCCAAAAGGAGCCUGAUACAGGAUGAGAUGAGAGAGUAUAAAUUGUGAGAGAGUGAUCACUGCAAGCGGAGUGAAAACACUGUGAGUGUGAGAAUCAAAGCUUGUUCACCAUGUCGUCUGAAAAAUUUGUUCAACUAGUCAUUAUAAAGUUUGAUGGCCAUUAUGAUUUUUGUUCAUGACAAUGGAGAAUUUCCUAAGAAGUAAGGAAAUGUGGCAUCUUAAGAAGGUAUUCCAACCUCUGCACCUGGAACUAUCCUGAGGCUCAUUGGAAGACUAUUGAAGAGGCCAAGCUCAAGGACUUGAAAGUCAAAAAUUUCUUGUUUCAAGCCAUUGACAGAGAAAUUCUUGAAACUAUUCUUAACAAAGCAACUUUGAAAGAAAUGUGGAGCUCCAUGCAAAAAAAGUAUCAAGGAUCCACAAAAAGCACAACUUCAAGCACUAAGAAGAAAGUUUGAAUUGCAUAUUAUGAAAGAAGGGGAAUCGGUUAAUAGGCAGACUUCUCCAUGUAGGCACAAUUGUCAGCAAAAUACUUAGAUAUAUUUGACAUCGAAAUUCAACUAUGUUGCAUCUUCGAUAGAAGAGACAAAUUUAGAUGUUUUAACUAUAGAUGAACUACACGAUAGUCUUUUAGUGCAUGAACAAUGCAUGCAAGACUUACAAAUAGAAGAACAAAUUCUGAAGGUAACAAAUGAUAAUAGACCUUCUAGGGACAGGGGUGGCAGAGGUGCAUUUAAAGAAGGUCGUAGCAAAGUAGGACGUGGAAGAGGUAGAUACUCAUUGAAUAAAUUACUCAUUGAGUGCUUCAAAUGUCACAAACUGGGUCACUUCUAAUAUAAGUGUCCAAAUUGGGAAAGGCGGGCUCAUUAUGUAGAACUUGAUGAAGAAGACGAAGAACUUCUAUUAAAGGCAUAUGAAGAACUUGAUCACAAUACACAUGAAGAUGAAUAACUCCUAUUAGUGGCAUAUGAAGAACCUCAUCACAACACACAUGAGGACGUAUGGUUUCUAGAUUUUGGCUGAGUCAAUCAUGUGACGGGAAGUAAGGAAUAGAUUUUUUUAUUUUGAGGAAGGAUUAUGAAAAACUGUGAAGCUUGAAAAUAAUACAACAAUGAUAGUGGAUGGAAAAGGAAGCAUUCGAGUACAAAUAAAUGGUUUUACUCAGGUAAUAUCAGAUGUUUAUUUUGUCCCUAAGUUAAAGAAUAAUUUACUUAGUUUAGGCCAGCUUCAAGGGAAAGGCUUAUCCAUCUUAAUCCAGCAAGGCAUCUGCAAGAUAUUCCAUCCAGAGAAGGGCUCUAAAAUGAAAGGUAACAAAAUGUUUUAUGUGAUAGCAUUUGUAGCAUCUAAAGCAUCAAUGUGUAUGCAAACAAAUACCGGUUUCGAUCAAGAAACAAAUUUGUGGCAUUUCCAUUUUGGUCAUCUUAGCUACAAAGGACUAAACACACUUACAAGCAAACAGAUGGUCACAGGACUUCCACCACUGAAAUUCCAAAAUAGAAUUUGUGAAACAAGUCUAAUUGGCAAAUAGCAAAGGGAGCCAAUACCAAAGAAAUGCUUACGAAGGGCCUCAAAACAACUUCAACUCAUUCAUGCUGACAUUUGUGAUCCCAUCACACCAUCCUCAAAUAGCAACAAGAGGUAUAUAUUAACCUUCAUUGAUGAUUUUUCUCGUAAAGCUUGGAUCUACUUUUUGCAAGAAAAAUCUGAGGCUUUGACUAUGUUCAAAAGAUUCAAACCUGGUAUUGAAAAAGAAGUGGGUAUGUUCAUCACGUGUCUCAGGAGGUGAAUUUCCAUCAAUGGAGUUUGAAGAAUUUUACACAACUCAAGGAAUUUCUAGACAAUUAAUUACUGCCUACACCCCUCAGCAAAAUGGAGUUUCUGAAGAAGCCUGGUGUGGUGAAAAGCCAAGAGUAGAUUAUUUGUUAGUCUUUGGUUGUGUAGCUCAUGCUCACAUACCUGAUCAAAAGAGAAGCAAACUUGACGACAAAAGCAAACAUUGUAUAUUCUUGGGUGUCAGUGAUGAAUCCAAAGCCUACAAAUUGUUUGAUCCUUUAGCAAAGAAAGUCAUUAUAAGUCGGGAUGUCAUCUUUGAGGAAGACAAGAGUUGGAACUGGGAAGGAUCAAAAGAAGAGUCUAACACUGAUGUUCUAGACUAGGACGAACAGACAUUUGAAGCUUGAAGAGAAGAUUCAAGAUCAACACAACAGAAAGGCCAUGAUAGUAUCACUGUUGAGGUGUCCUCAAGCUAUCCCAAUGACAACUCAAAUGAAACCAGUCCACCACUAGCAGAGAACACUAAUGAACAUGUAACUAAAGUCUAGGGGAGGAUAAUGCGGUAGAGAAGAAAACCAGUAUGAAUGGCAGAUUAUACCUAGUUUUAUGCAAAAGUUAACCUCAUAUGGCAUCAAUGUUGGCUGAACAUGGAGGUGAUCAUGGGAUUUUAAAACAAAACUCAAUGAACAUGGGGAUAUUGAGAAACACAAGGCUCGGUUGGUGGCAAAAGGGUACUCACAGCAAUAUGAUGUGGAUUACACUAAAGUCUUUGCCCCGGUAGCUAGGCUCGAUACCGUGCGAGUACUAUUAGCCUUAGCAACUCAACAUAGAUGGGAGGUAUUUCAACUAGACAUCAAGAGUGCAUUUCUUCAUGGUGAGCUAAAAUAAAAGGUGUAUAUACAACAACUUGAAAGUUUUGUUAAUGAAGGCAAAGAAAACAAAGUAUAUAGAUUGAGAAAGGUGUUAUACGGUCUUAAACAAGAUCUAAGAGCUUGGUACAAUAGAAUUAAGGCGUACUUUGCCAAAGAGCAAUUUGAAAAAUGUCCUAGUGAGCACACCUUGUUUACCAAGAAACAUGGAGGCAACAUCUUAAUAGUUAGUCUUUAUGUAGAUGAUUUGAUUUACAUUGGAAAUAAUAGAAGAAUUUAUGAACAAUUUAAAGGCUCAAUGAUGUUGGAGUUUGAUUUGACUGACUUGGGAAGAAGGAGAUAUUUUCUCAUCAUAGAAGUAAUUUAGAGUAAAGUUGGUUUUUUCAUUUGUCAACACAUAUAUGCUCAAGCAAUAUUGACACGAUUCAACAUGGCAGGUUACAAUUCAAUAAUAAAUAUGAUUGUUCCAGGAAAAAUCUACCAAAAGAUGAGAAAGGCACUAGAGUAGAUGUCAUGUAGUACAGACAAGUAAUAGGUUGUAACUCACCCAGACUUAAUGUUUCGAGUAAGUCUAAUCAGCAAGUUUAUGGCAAAUCCAAAAGAGUCACACUGGUUAGCAACAAAAAGGCUUAUGCGAUAUGUGAAAGGAAUCACAUAGCAUGGGAUUUUUUUAUAGGACAAUAGAAAAGAAACACGAGCCUUAUAGCCUAUACUGACAGUAACCGCAAAAGCAUCUCAAGUCUAGUAUUGAAGAUAGGUUCUGGAGUUGUAUCAUAGGCCUCCAAAAAGCAGCCUAUUGUCAGCUUGUCCACCACUGAGACUGCAUAUAUUGUUGCAACUUCCUAUGCUUGCUAAUGUAUUUGGAUUAGAGGAAUUCUAGAUCGGCUUGGAAUAGAAGAACAAUAAGCAAUUAGAACAAUGAUACUUUGUCAUAAUAGCUUUUUCAUUCAAUUGUCUAAGAAUUCAAUUUUUCAUGGGAAAACCAAACACAUUGUAGUAAGAUUCCAUUUUCUCAUAUAUUUAGUAAAGGCACUAGUGCAAAAACAGUGUAUAGUGUCAUGCGUUCAACGUUGAUAACAGUUGGUUUAACGUGUUUGUGUGUGUAUAUUUUGUGAACAAAUCAACUCCUUCAUAGCUUUUACCUUGUUUUAUCCUCAAGUUUAGUGUGUUUUCUAGUUUUCUUGUGUUUUAUUUAGUAUAUGCUUGUUUUUACUUCUAAUCUCUUUGUUUGAGUGUGUGAAAUAAAUCGAUAGGAAGCAAUUCUAGUGGAGGAAAACAAGCAAGAACUCAAGGGAACAUGUUUUAGGACAAGAAAAGAUUAAUUUGAAGAAAAUACCCAUGUUGGACACUUUUGGAAUUACACAAGAACUUGAAUUUUAGAAUGCUGUCAAAACUGCUUGUAGCUGAGCGGUAGUUGAGCGGCAGCUGAGCUAUAUGUCUCUGGAAUGCUGCAGUUGGGGUACAGCUGUGGUGCAGCUGAGCGCCCUGCUCUCUGGAAUGCUGACGCUGGGGUGCAACUGAGCGGUGACGAUGCUGAUGUGUCAAAAUGGGUUAUUUAAACAUGGGUCUCGCGAUUUUUUGGGCAUUCUUCUCCUCCUGCACUUUAUUCUUCACCUGGAGAGAUUGGGAGAGGCCCUUGAAGGUUAUUUGGGGUGUUGGGAAGCUCUCUCACUCCUCCUUGGGUCUUCAAGCUUCAUCAGUGGUGAUUUUGCCCCCUUUGGGUUGAGGAAGAAGAUGGGUCACAAAUUAGAGAUGAAGUUGCGAAGGGGAGGCGCACAUGGAGCAUGGAGCAGUUGCCAAGAACCUUGGUAAAGGCUUUGCAUCUUCUCUUUGGUUCCAAUUUCUUCCCUAUCUCUUCAAUUUUGUGAACCCUAAGUUCUCCUCCAUGGAGAGUUUUUCCUAUUUGUUGAGAUUAGAUGUAAUCAAUUGAAUCUUGUGUAUUUUGUGAUGUUAAUACAUAUGUUUUUCCAUUUCAAUGUUAGUAUUUGAUUUUUAUGUUUAAUGCUUGCUUUGGAUUGAUCACUCAUGCAUGAAUUAUGGUUCUUGAUGUAUUAGAAAAUUUGACUUGAACUUAGAACUGAAAUUGAACACCUAAUUGAUGGAAUUGAGUUGUUUGUAAAUGCAUGAGAAUGAAGUGGAUGAACUCUAGUCUUGAGAAAUUGUAAAUACACUAUGUUAAAUUCCUUGCACACCAAUUGUUUGAUAAAAUACCAAAAAGAGUUUCUUGUGUUAUUUUGUACACUUUGAUGUCUAAUUGAGUUAUAAAAGGAAGAAUUGUCAUGUGUUGCACAAGUUCCUUGGGAGAGAACGAUAUUUAUCACUUGCUACGCUGCGACCGGUGCACUUGCCAUUGGUUUUGCAACCAAAAAACGUCCAACCACUGAAUAGCCAGCGUUAAAAAUGACUGAUGGCAUUUUUGUAAAUAAAUGAAAUUAUUAAACGUCGUUUAGAAUUUUAAUUCGGCGUAAAAGCAUAUAAAACGUUGAAUGCCCCAACGUUAGACGUCAAAAGGUUAGUGAUCAAUAAAAAUUUGAGCAGGAGAUUGAAAAUUCAUUCACUUUAUCUAGACGCGCGAGACCCUCUUCUCUUCUCAAACUUUUCUUGAACAAAGUUUGAUGACCAUCACAUGAAUCUUUCUUUCAUUUGAUACAAAUGCAUGUUAAUUAACAACUUUAUGUAUGAUUUUCGUUUGUUUUGACCGAUUAUUUUCGUGCUCUUGUCCUUCAUAGGCGUAUUCUGCUUUCUCUUUGACUGGUGACAACACUUUAUUCCGACAAACCCACCUUUUGAAGGUUAGUUUUUAUUUUCGUGUUGAACUUAUUUGUGGAACUUGUUAGUUAUUAUUUUCGUUUGUUUUGACCGAUUAUUUUCAUGCUCUUAUCUUUCAUAGGAGCAUUAUGCUUUCUUUCUCACUGGUGACAACACUAUUCCGACAAAUUCACCUUUUGAAGGUUAGUUUUAAUUUUCGUUUUGAACUUAUUUGUUGAACUUGUUUGUUGUUUUUUUGUUGAACUAGUUUGUUGUUAUUGUUUGGUUAAACUUGUUUAUUGUUGUUUGAUUGAACUUGUUUGUUGUUGGUUCACGUUCAUAGUUCAUGUUUUAUAAAAUACCAAAAACUGAAAUUUGUUGUUUUUCUACUUUUCAGGUCUCCACUACUGGAAAAACGUUGUUUAACGUCGGUUAUUUUGUGCUUUUAAUGUCACCAAUAGAACCGACAUCUAUACGGGUGACGUUAAUGGGACGUCGGUCUUUUACAGGUGCAACGUCUAUAUACACGUCAGUUCAGUUCAAAGAACGACGUCUACAAAGACAUCAGUCAUUAAGAUAAUCGACGUCUUCGGGGCAUUAUAGACGUCGGUUUGUACAUUAACUGACGUCUUUGGGACAUUAUAGACGUCGGUUUGUACAUUAACCGACGUCUAUGAAGUGAUCGUUGUGUUUUGGUGCGGUUUUUGUCGUGUCUUGGGGUAGUGUAGUAGCACCUCCUUCCUUUACUAGUUUCUUCGUAAGAAAAGCUUGCGUCUUUUGGACUUCUCAUGGCAUUUCAACCCAAAGACAAACUUGGGUCAUUGCCUACUUCCAUUCCGACCGCCAAUGAAAAAGAAUACGAUGAGAAAACGGAUGUCUAGAAUUGUAUAUAGGCGUCGAUGUGGCGGGAUCCGACGUCUAUAAGGCUGAAAAGAGUGAUUAUUCACCUAUCUGGCAGACAUAUAGGCGUCCGUUAGAAUGAGACCGACGUCUAUAUGUCUAAGAGGUUGGUGAGUAGUAUUAAUUUCUGCCAUAUAGACGUCGGGGUCAUCAAUGUGCCGGUAUCCGAUGUCUAUAUGGCUGAAAAGAGCGACUAUUCACCUAUCUGGCAGACAUAUAGGCGUCAGUUAGCAAAAGCCCGACGCCUAUAUGUUUGUUAGGUAGGUGAGCAACAUUAAUUCUGCCAUCGAGACGUCGGUGCCCUCCACUAACCAACGUCUAAAAGGCUGAAGGAAAUGACUUUUCACCUAACGAUCAGAAAUAUAGACGUUAGGUUGGAAGGGGCAACAUCUUAAAUUCUAUAGACUUCGGUCAUAAUGGCAAAAAAAUUCGCACCCGUGGAUAUCCGCAGAUAAAAUCUACGACCGAUAGUUGAUACCUGCAGAUAUUUACUACCCGAAACCCGCGGAUAGCGAGUAUUCUAAUACCCGCUUAUAAACGGAUCGGGUGCAGGUAUUAUACUAUCCGUACCCAUGGAUAUCCGCUACCCACAAAAAAUAAAAUAAAAAAUUAAUUUUUAUUUUAUUAAGUUAAAUAUAAUUAAAAUUAACAUUAAUUUAUAUUUUACAAGGUUAAAUUUAAUUAAAAUUGUAGUAUACCUAUCGGAAUUAAUUGUCAUUUAUGGACAAUUAACAAGUAUUAAUAGGUCAUAUUACCUUACUCUUUACAAAAUAUACGGUAUUGAUCAUUGAUUAUUGGGUUUGAUUGCCUAAAAAUAUACUGCAUUAAUUAAUAGGUUAGAUUGUCUUACUCUUUAAUAGGUCAGAUUGUCUUACUCUUUACAAAAUAUACGGUACUAAUUAUUGAUUAUUGGAUUUGAUUGCCUAAAAAUAUACUGCACUAAUGGUUAAUCAAUGGGCUUGCCUGCCAUAAGGUCUAUAAAUAUACAAUUGAUGUCUAGAUACAAUCUUUCUCUUCUAUCCUAAUAAAAUUUAGACCUUUUUAUAUCUUGAGUGUCGGAGUGUCUUCUUCUACACGUCAACAACCCAUCAGAGUGGAUGGCAUUCUCAGGAAGGAUUGAAGAUUAAAAGAGAACAAAGCAAAGAAGAACGACUAACCAUCGAACCAAUUCAACCGAAACAAAAAUUAAAUUUUAAUUUAUAUUUAAUUUAAUUUAUAUUAUAUUUUAUAUAUUCUUUUGUAAUUCUAUUUAAAUUUUAUUUUAAUAAUUUAUAAAAAUAUAUAUUUUUAAAUAUAUGCGGGUAUCCACGGAUAUUCUUAGGUUUUAAAAUAUCCGUGGAUUUUUUUAAGCGGGUAUCUGUGCGGGUAGCGGGUCGAGUAGUGGGUGGAUUUUUUUUUUUGUCGAGUCGGGUUGCGGGUAGGCACUAUCCGUACCCGACCCGACCCAUUGUCAUCCCUAGACAUCGGUGGUAGACCUACCGGACGCCUAUAUUGCCAGAUUAUUUACGAAAAUACCACCGGUCAUCAAUAUACGUCGUUCUUACCCUUAACCGACGUCUAAGGGGUGACGUUAAAUAGUGUUUUUGCACUAGUGCUCGUAGAGUUAUAAAAAAGGAUCACAAUUAAUUAAAAAAACAAAAAAAAAAAAAUUGAUUAAUGUCGUAUAUUGACAAAAUUCGACUUUAAGUUAAUGUCGUAUAUUGACAAAAUUAGUUAAUGUCAAAUUUUUUAAAUUCGACGUCAAUUUAACGUCUCCUGAUAUAACAUUGUUUGUGAAUUUGCAGUUAAAAGUCCAAAAUAUUUGACUUUGUCCGCGAUUUUGAUACUAGUGAGGAUGAAGUUGUGAAAUUAAGUUAUUGCAAAUCAAAAGACAAAAAUGCAGAUGUUAAAGUCAUUAAAGGUGGACAAGUUUGAGAAGCUCGAGGCAUGCUUGGAGAGUAAAUGAAAUAAGUUAGUUGCAUAUGCAUCUAGCUUUAAGGGAGGGAUUAUCAACGAUUUAUUAGUUUGAAUAAAUUUAGUUUAUAAAACCAGUCUUUCUCUAUUCCGCUAUUUUCGGCCUCUUAGCAUACAAAGUGGACUUGCUUACCACUAAAUGUGCUGAUGCAUUGCAUUAUGUUAUUGUACUCGGGCUUAUAUAAGCCAUGUUCAAUUCAUUAAUAACAACAUGGUGUGUUGCUUCCCUCCAACGUGAGCACUUUUGUUUAUUGCAUUUUACAAGCACAACAUACAAACAGAUCCAAUAUUAUAAACAAGUGCCAAUAUUUCAACAUGAUCAAAAGAGAGUUAAAUUAAAUUAUUUCGAUAAUAAUGAUUUAAUGAAUAAAAUAGCUAGACACUUUGUUAACAAAACGCUUCUGAUAUGGAGUUGAAGUUCACAGUUUUCAUGACAAAUCUAAUGGAAUUUUAAAUUUUACGUAAGUUUCAGACAGGGAUAUGUUAGUUGAAGUAAAUUGGUUGUAUCCCUGUACAUGAAUAUUCUAAUUUAUUAAUUUGAAAAAUCAUUUUCCCUAAUUUUAAUAUCUUUAAGGUCUGGACUACAAGUUUCACUAAUUCUGUAUUUUUUUUUAUAUAUAAAAUAUUUCGGAAACAAGUGAUAAACACGAUAUCGAAGGAAGAGAGCGAAGUUGGUACGCAAUUAUAUGGUUGGUUUGACUUGACUCCUUAUAUGAACACUCCUCGUCAACGAAAGAAUACGGCAGCCACUGGGAAGUAACGCUAUCUUUAUUGCCAUGGCCACCAAUUGACAACUCAAACAAAACACUCUUCCCCAUGCUUCCUUCUCCACAGCCAUAAUCAUUCGAAAAACCCUCCAUUUUGCAAAUGGCUGAGGCUUUGCUCGGAAUUGUAAUCCAAAACUUGCAAUCUUUUGGCCAAGACCAACUUGCUACGUUUUGGGGUGUUGACCAACAUACUCAAAAGCUUUCCAGCAAUCUCACUGCAAUCCGUGCUGUCCUUAGAGAUGCUGAGAGAAAACAAAUCACAAGUAAUGCUGUCAAAGAUUGGCUGCAGAAACUCACAGAUGCAGCAUAUGUACUGGAUGAUAUCUUAGAUGAAUGUUCAAUUCACUCCACAAAACUGAAUUUUGAUGAUGGACAUACUUCAUGCCUAUCCCAUCUCCAUCCUAAGGACAUUCUCUUUCGUUUCAAUAUUGGUAAAAGGAUGAAAGACAUCACCCAAAGAUUUCAUGACAUUCACGAAGAAAGGAGCAUGUUUAAUUUAGAACCAAGUGUCACAGAGGUGCAAACAAUCCAUGAUAAUUGGCGCCAAACUAGCUCUGACAUUACAGAACCUAUACUCUAUGGCAGAGACCAGGAUCGAGAGCAAAUUUUGAAGUUUCUUUUGGAAGAUGUUAAUGACAGUGAAGACCUCUCUAUCUAUCCCAUAGUUGGUAUGGGUGGACUUGGAAAAACAACAUUAGCUAAGCAGGUUUUCAAUGAUGACAGGGUAUGCAAACAUUUUGACUUGAC
This 17796-nucleotide long non-coding RNA is filed under the name Vigna radiata. RNAcentral describes it as "long non-coding RNA (VRAD_LNC010957)". Lineage: Eukaryota; Viridiplantae; Streptophyta; Magnoliopsida; Fabales; Fabaceae. The record is from RNAcentral.